GAAGGUGGCCUGUGAGGGUUGCUGGAGGUAUCAGAAGUGCGAAUGCUGACAUAAGUAACGAUAAAGCGGGUGAAAAGCCCGCUCGCCGGAAGACCAAGGGUUCCUGUCCAACGUUAAUCGGGGCAGGGUGAGUCGACCCCUAAGGCGAGGCCGAAAGGCGUAGUCGAUGGGAAACGGGUUAAUAUUCCCGUACUUGGUGUUACUGCGAAGGGGGGACGGAGAAGGCUAUGUUGGCCGGGCGACGGUUGUCCCGGUUUAAGCGUGUAGGUGUGUGUUCCAGGUAAAUCCGG
Molecule: ribosomal RNA, 290 nt
Filed under: Salmonella enterica subsp. enterica serovar Albany
Lineage: Bacteria; Pseudomonadati; Pseudomonadota; Gammaproteobacteria; Enterobacterales; Enterobacteriaceae
Description: partial 23S ribosomal RNA
Rfam family: Bacterial large subunit ribosomal RNA
Source: RNAcentral